Molecule: long non-coding RNA, 875 nt
Organism: Diabrotica virgifera virgifera (western corn rootworm)
Lineage: Eukaryota; Metazoa; Arthropoda; Insecta; Coleoptera; Chrysomelidae
Exons: 3
Source: RefSeq, a predicted model, not a curated record
UACAGGUCGAGCAAGUCUCGUAAAUUUCACGAUUGCGAGCCACGCUUCACGCAACCGUGUUUGCGUACUUGUGUUUCGAGUUGCGUGGUCGUGCGGAGUUAUAUUUACCAAAUUUAAAUAUAAUCGUUUCUACUGAUUCAUAAUAAUAUAUGUCAAUAUGGCUACUGGGUGUAAAAGAUAAAUGUUAUUCUAUCUGUUCUUAAUGAGUUUUAGAUAAUUUUAGUUGUAUUUCUUUGUAAUUUUGUGUUGUACAAAGAUUAAUUUAACAUUUUCUCUGGAAGUAUUAAUUUAGAAAGAUAAUAUGCUUCAAUGGUGUUGUGUUUUGAAGUGUGAAAUGCAAAGUACCUAAUUGUGAUAAAGUCAAGAUAAAGUUCACUUUUAAACUGAACUAAAUAAGGUAUCUGAGAGACAACAAUGGUUAAAUGCAAUACAAUGUACAGGUUUUACUAGCGAAAUGAAAAUUUUCCUGUCCUGUCUGCUGUAAUCAUUUUAUAUCUGGAAAACCAGCCGACUUAAUCGAUAAUAACAAUCUCCAGAUUGGGUUCCUUCAAUAAAUAUGGGCUAUAAACACAAUGAAAUAAGUUCCCCAAAAUCUAAACUGGAGUGGUAUCAAAGGAGAAUUAAAGGAAAAAAUAUUCAUAUUGAAAUUAUUUAUAAGGCACUGGACUGUCUUAAAUUCUACAAUAAUACUAGAAUCAGCUGAGAGAAGUGGUCUACAAAAAACCAGGAAGGAAACGGAAUAUGUGGCUACGAAAGGCAAAAGAAAAGUUUACAAAGCAAAUGUGACACAUUUUUUUGAAAUAUUUAGGAAUAUUAGUAAAUUGCAUUAAAAAAAUGUAUGAAAAGAUUUUGUUCAAUAAAAAUGUUUAUAUUUA